This 439-nucleotide ribosomal RNA is filed under the name uncultured bacterium. RNAcentral's name for it is "partial 16S ribosomal RNA". It matches the Rfam family "Bacterial small subunit ribosomal RNA", at positions 339 to 795 of the family's 1533-position model. The record is from RNAcentral.
CUACGGGUUGCAGCAGUGAGGAAUAUUGCACAAUGGGGGGAACCCUGAUGCAGCAACGCCGCGUGGAGGAUGACGCAUUUCGGUGUGUAAACUCCUUUUAUAUGUCAAGAAAAUGACGGUAGCAUAUGAAUAAGCACCGGCUAACUCCGUGCCAGCAGCCGCGGUAAUCGGAGGGUGCAAGCGUUACUCGGAAUCACUGGGCGUAAAGGACGCGUAGGCGGGUUGGAAAGUCAGGUGAUGAAAUCCUACAGCUUAACUGUAGAACUGCACUUGAAACUUCUAAUCUAGAGUAUGGGAGGGGGAGAUGGAAUUAGUGGUGUAGGGGUAAAAUCCGUAGAUAUCACUAGGAAUACCUAAAGCGAAGGCGAUCUCCUGGAACAUUACUGACGCUAAGGCGUGAAAGCGUGGGGAGCAAACAGGAUUAGAUACCCGCGUAGUC